CUGCCAGCCCCGUUCCAGGGCA
This 22-nucleotide microRNA is filed under the name Homo sapiens (human). Its description in RNAcentral is "hsa-miR-3972". The record is from miRBase by way of RNAcentral. Lineage: Eukaryota; Metazoa; Chordata; Mammalia; Primates; Hominidae.